Long non-coding RNA from Neoarius graeffei (lesser salmon catfish), 870 nucleotides. RefSeq lists it as uncharacterized. The transcript has 3 exons. The record is from RefSeq and is a predicted model, not a curated record. Lineage: Eukaryota; Metazoa; Chordata; Actinopteri; Siluriformes; Ariidae.
UUGUAGCAUUCACCAGGGCACCAUCAUCAAGUUGGCUGGUGAGGUCUAGAAGUCUGCAGUUACACUACAAGUGAAACUUUUGAAGCUUCGAAAUAUCACUCCAACAGUGAGGUGAAAUUACUAGCCUUCAACGUGCAUGGUUGUUGGUAUAGCUGGUAUCCGAGAGAAGCCAACAAGACGUAUGUGGUGUGCCCUCGGUGGUUUGUGUGGUCAGAUGCAAGCCGUACCAGCGGGGAAGUUGGGCCGGGAGCUGGAGUAAGCUAAUUGGCACGACGCCACCAUAGCGCAGGUAGGCCACGAGCCUUAAGAAAAAAACUUAAUAUUUAGUACAUUCAGGACACAUUCUUUUGUAUUCAUUGUAUCAAUGUGUGUUUUAGGACGGUGUAUAGUGGUGGCAGAAUGUUAAUAGUCACUGUUUUGCUUUCAUUUGUUUUAUAUUUUUAUUAUUUUGUUGUUUUCUUGGAUCGUGCCGGUUUCCUUGGUUAGGAAUUUUACUGAGUGCCCAUCUAGCCUUGGCAUAUGCAGCUGCUCUAUACUACCCUGGGGUCAGGGAGCAUAGAAUUUGCUUUGCUUAUUUGUUUUGUUUUGGGAGAAUCCUCACUGGGUUUGUUGUGUUCUAACAAGAGUGAUAUACCGUGUGCAGUGGUUUGAAUCCUCUUAAGUGUGCACGUUUCUUAUCUGACUUUGGGUCAUGUUGCUGUGAACUAAUGGACUGGUGUGAAUUUAACUAAUAAGGGUGUGUAACCAGUGAGUAAAGAUUUCUACCCUUCUUUGUGAUUUUCUUUAUCCCUGUACUCUAAGCCAAGUUGCAUGUGUCUUGUGUUGACCAACCAAAUUAUUGGCGUUACUUUUAUAAUAAAAAGAGAAUAU